RNAcentral lists this ribosomal RNA (253 nucleotides) under uncultured bacterium. RNAcentral's name for it is "partial 16S ribosomal RNA". It matches the Rfam family "Bacterial small subunit ribosomal RNA", at positions 524 to 776 of the family's 1533-position model. The record is from RNAcentral.
UACGUAGGGACCAAGCGUUGUUCGGAUUUACUGGGCGUAAAGGGCGCGUAGGCGGCGUGGUAAGUCACUUGUGAAAUCUCUGAGCUUAACUCAGAACGGCCAAGUGAUACUGCUGUGCUAGAGUGCAGAAGGGGCAAUCGGAAUUCUUGGUGUAGCGGUGAAAUGCGUAGAUAUCAGGAGGAACACCGGUGGCGAAGGCGGCUUGCUGGGCCAGUUCUGACGCUGAGGAGCGAAAGCGUGGGGAGCGAACAGG